Molecule: unclassified non-coding RNA, 351 nt
Filed under: soil metagenome
Description: partial contains 5.8S ribosomal RNA, internal transcribed spacer 2, and large subunit ribosomal RNA
Rfam family: 5.8S ribosomal RNA (bases 1-120)
Source: RNAcentral
GAUGAAGAACGCAGCGAAAUGCGAUAAGUAAUGUGAAUUGCAGAAUUCAGUGAAUCAUCGAAUCUUUGAACGCACAUUGCGCCCGCGAGUAUUCUCGCGGGCAUGCCUGUCCGAGCGUCAUUUCAACCCUCAGGGCCCGCCUGCUUGCAGGCGCGGCGCUGGUGUUGGGGAUCGGCUACCCUGCCGUCCCCCAAAUACAGUGGCGGUCUCGCUGCAGCCUCCCCUGCGUAGUAGUAACACUCGCAUGCGGAGCGCGGCGCGGCCACGCCGUAAAACCCCCGACUUUCUGAACGUUGACCUCGGAUCAGGUAGGAAUACCCGCUGAACUUAAGCAUAUCAAUAAGCGGAGGA